Molecule: long non-coding RNA, 241 nt
Filed under: Nicotiana benthamiana
Lineage: Eukaryota; Viridiplantae; Streptophyta; Magnoliopsida; Solanales; Solanaceae
Description: long non-coding RNA (NBEN_LNC001878)
Source: RNAcentral
UUGUUGUCCAUUUAUGCCUUUCUUCAUUAAAGCCCACACUUUACUUGCACGUUGUGCUUAAAGCCCCAACAGACCUUAGAGUGUUUUUGUGCUUUUCCCUUUAAUAACACUGCUGUAACCUUCUUAAACUAGGCGAUAUAAACAGCUAAAUACAGCAAAAAUAAAACUGAAUUCAUGUAUACAAAGACAGUCCAGACGAAACAAGAUCCUUAUUUAGCAUAGACAGGGCUUAAAGCAACAA